RNAcentral lists this unclassified non-coding RNA (234 nucleotides) under Hevea brasiliensis (rubber tree). The record is from RNAcentral. Lineage: Eukaryota; Viridiplantae; Streptophyta; Magnoliopsida; Malpighiales; Euphorbiaceae.
CUCGUCCAUGUCCAAUGUACUGAGACCUCACGGUCAAACCACGUAAACUCUGUAUUCUAUUCUCUUUUCUAUACUCUAUACUCUAUACUCUAUUUGAUUGUACUUGUGCCAUUGUGUGUGCUUUAGAAUUGCAUACCAGUUAUAACAGUUAUAAUAUACAAUGAACUCUACUUUACUUUUGCCAUAAGCAGAGUUAAAGCAAAAAUGAGCAUACCAUGUAAAAGAUCAUAAAGG